AUGAAGAUCGGCAAGGCCCCGGCGCUCCUGAAGAAGGCAGCAGCUAUGUGCAAGAGCAAGACCGGCGUCUUCACGGCUAGGCUCCUCGUCCUCGCCGCGGUCCGUCGCAGGAUGGCCACAGUUGGCGCCAUUUCUCACAGGAUCCAUGCCCUCAUUGUGGCCGACUGGGAGAAGGGUGCCAAAGUGGACUACCACAAGGCUCUCAUGCUCCGCAAGGUCGAGAAGCUGAAGUACCAAGUCGGUGCGAUGGUCGAUCCGUCCCACCAUUUAGCAUUGUUUGAUCAAGAGGAUGGUGUUGGUGGCUGCCCUGACUGGACACUGCACCCCAUCUUCAGCGACGGUGACGAUUUCUGUUACACUGACGAGUACGACAGAGAUGAUGAUGACGGAGAUGAGCCCUCGGUGAUGAAUGCAAUAAGGAUCAACCAGGAGGCUGAUUUGGAAUUCAAUAUGGAUGACGAUAUUGACCUGGCUGCUGAAAUGUUCAUCAGAAGGUUCCGUGAGCAGAUGAACGAGAGCUUCUUAUGA
Molecule: ribosomal RNA, 528 nt
Filed under: Triticum aestivum (bread wheat)
Lineage: Eukaryota; Viridiplantae; Streptophyta; Magnoliopsida; Poales; Poaceae
Description: partial small subunit ribosomal RNA
Source: RNAcentral